AACCAGACGAGGUGUGGAAAGGGCAGGGAUCUCCUUUACACAUCUGUGUUGUGUCUGUGCAAGAGCGUUUUCUUAUCCCAAGAUGCUCUAUGAGUCCCUUCCAGGUUACUCAAAAGUCAAGAAUCGGUAAGUAUGCAAACAUGACAGCUCUGCCGCUUUGCAGAUUUCUAGUGCUUAUCUAUUUUUUUCCUGAUAGAAAGGGUGGUUGGUGUUACCUGGACGAGAAGGGCAGUGCACUGAGCCUUAGAGAGGCUCAUGCAUGUCAGACCAGAGAGACGGAAGCUUGGACAGGCAGAGGGCACUGGGCUGAGAUGGGGCAGGAGUGCACCACAGCUGGACAGACCCGUGCAUGCAGGGGCAGAAUCCUUGCCUGCAGGGGUCUCCAUGUACGGUUAUUUGUUGUGAGCUAGCAAACUCAGCGAUGUAACAGGGAUGGACAGGAAAGGAAGAGGGAAGUGGGGGAGAGACACGGAGAUGAGCCCUGGGUUGGGGGAAAGAGAAGGCCAGCAGCCCUCCACGGGGCCCUACAAUCUGUCCUGCGUCCCCACAGUGAAGUGGUCACUCAGCCUCAAAGUCAGUGUGGAUAAGGUAUCAGCCCAUGAGAGAAGAAUGAUUUGAGAUUUGUUUCCAUCUGUCUUUCCUAAGUCAAGCAGGAGGGACCACCUUCUCCCACAAAGGUGAACUCAAGGGCACAGGACAUUUAGCUGGUUGAAUCGUUGCCCUUGCCUGAUGCAUGUUCAUGCUGAUCACCUGAAUGUCCUGCGUGCGAUCCUCUCUUCCUCCCUGUGCGAGGGCCAUUUCGCCCCCAGGCAUCUGAAAGCCUUCAGCAUGGAUGUGGGUCCCUUCCUUGUUAGAUGCAGGGUGUGGGACACGUUGUCUAACUUGCCAUGCUUCUCAAUGAGCGAGGGCAUGGAACACCCAAGACUGGGACAUGGGUCAAGCCAUGAAAUCGGUGAUGAUUUUUAUGGCAACAAUAGGAAUUCCACAACCUCGGUGCCCCUCCCUGCAGGGCCCCGAGACGUCCAUCAUCGUCUGGACGAACAUGGCUUUCGCAGUGAGACGCAACCCAUCCUAACAGUGAUGCCACAGGAUAGUCCACCGCCCAAGGUCAUCUCGAGUUGGUCCAAACAGAUGGAAAGUAAGGGGUCAGAUGUGAGCUGGGUUUCCUAAUGACAACUCAACACAGAGAUGACCCUAUGGGAAGAAGACCCUCUGCAGCAGUUACUGCACCUGCCUGUGAGCAGAACCAGGUGCUGAGAAGUUCAAACACAGGCUCCAAGGUGCCAGCUCUCAGGAGCUUGCCUGGGGCCCAAGACCACCUCCAAACACAUCAGGAAUCCCACAGGCUGGUUGAAGUGGUUGAUUUCUGCAUUUGCCUGUGGUCCAGUGCACCCUCCAUAUUAGGAAACAAGCUCCUCAUGGUCUGGGAUCUUGUGCCUCUGUCACCUCCCAAAGCUUCAGCACAUAAAAGAUACUCGGAAUAACGCCUGUCAAAAUGAGCAAGAUGCAGGUGCUCACACGAGGCCCUGGGGCAGGACAGGAGUUCAGAGAGCCUGGGUUGGCCGUGGAGCCCCGGGAAGCUCUGGAGGGAAGCUUGGAAUAUCAACACCCCACGCACCGCCUACCCUCCCUCCUGGGGCUUCUGACUUACUGACAAGCUAGUGAACAGGCUUUUGUACGAGCUGCGACAUGUGCAGCCUCCCUGAUCCUCCAGCCUCUGCACUGCCCAUCUUGACUUGCCUCAGGUAUGGAGCCCACAAUUGGCACCAUUUUUCUCCUCUACCUUCAUGUUGACAAUUGCCCCCUUCAAUUCAGAAGAUGCAUCCUAAGAGUGAUCGCAGGGACACUUCUACACUGGUGACCACAGCUGACUGGAGGCAACCUGUUGACACUAGUACUCAAAGGAAUCUGUGAACACUAGACCAAAGGAGAGAGGCUCGAAAUGCAACACGAGACUGACUGCCUUGGAGUCAGUUUGAUUCUGAUUCUCUCACUUAGGAUGCAAUACCCAGCACAGACCCUUCGGAUGACAGACUCCAAAGCCACUCUCAAACCCUCACUCUUGCUUUUUAGUUAUAGAGGACAGACAGCAAGAUACUCAUCUUUUUGACUUCCUUUGUGAUCAGUUAUAGCACUGUGACCUAAUUCAGGCCACUGAACAUUUAUGUGGAGGUACCUACAGAAGGCAUCCCUUCAAGUAAGCGCUCACAGGUUGUGGAGAAAUUUAUUUUAGCCUUCCUGUCUCCUGCCAAUAAUGUAGAUGUGAUGGCUGGAAGUGGAUUAGCCAUCUUAUAACCAUAGGGAGAAAAACAUAAAAACCACAGGCUACAGGUGUUGGGAAAAGAAGCGAGAAGGGGUCUAGGUUCUGCAGGAGCUCUGACCUCUGGAUUUAGUCCUGCAUGAGGAAAUAAAACCAUCAUUGUGUGUUCAUACCACCGACAUGGGGAUCUUUAUUACUUGUAGCAGAAACAUUACCUGGUGACAUAAAUAUUCCAGUAUGAGAAAAACCAUUUCCUGGGGUGAACCCUCUGUGGUCUGUAUGUACAGCAGUCCUCGUGGGCCAUUUUCUCCUGCCAGCUGGGCCAGGGAAACACCCUCCUGACUCGGGCCUCCCCUGUCUGCUGAGAGCUGGCUAGAAGCAGGAAGAACUCAAGGUCUAACCCCAGAAACUCAGGUCAAACUCUGACUCUGGAAUCACAGGCUGUGGGACCCUGAGUGAUUUUUGAGACUGUCGGAGCUCCACCUUUAUUUUAAACAGUGUUACCUAAUACAUUUCUACAGAGACUGUUCCCAGCAUGUGCUAAUACAUUAAAAACCCUCAUCUUA
Molecule: long non-coding RNA, 2826 nt
Organism: Marmota monax (woodchuck)
Lineage: Eukaryota; Metazoa; Chordata; Mammalia; Rodentia; Sciuridae
Exons: 5
Source: RefSeq, a predicted model, not a curated record